UACAGUCAGUGGGAGAUUUUCAGAGGCGUGAAAGGGUUGCUCCUUCUCUCUGUAUCGCGGACUAGCACAGUUGAGUGGAUCGUUCCCAGACAUCAGCCCACAACAGGAGGCAGCAAAGAUGGAUCCCCAAUACAGCAUGGGACUGAACAGCCUUCUCCUUGUGAUGGCCCUCCUGCUCUCCGGUAAGAACCCUUUGGCUUUGUAAAGCCCUAGAAUCCUUCCACUUACUCCCUGUGAGUCUGAACUCU
RNAcentral lists this long non-coding RNA (248 nucleotides) under Dasypus novemcinctus (nine-banded armadillo). RNAcentral describes it as "lncRNA (ENSDNOG00000050948.1)". Lineage: Eukaryota; Metazoa; Chordata; Mammalia; Cingulata; Dasypodidae. The record is from RNAcentral.